UGCUGCAUGGCUGUCGUCAGCUCGUGUCGUGAGAUGUUGGGUUAAGUCCCGCAACGAGCGCAACCCUUGUCUUUAGUUGCCAUCAUUAAGUUGGGCACUCUAAAGAGACUGCCGGUGUCAAACCGGAGGAAGGUGGGGAUGACGUCAAGUCCUCAUGGCCUUUAUGACCAGGGCUACACACGUACUACAAUGGCAGGUACAAAGGGCAGCCACUUAGCGAUAAGGCGCGAAUCCCGUAAAACCUGUCUCAGUCCGGAUUGGAGUCUGCAACUCGACUCCAUGAAGUUGGAAUCGCUAGUAAUCGCAGAUCAGCACGCUGCGGUGAAUACGUUCCCGGGCCUU
This 342-nucleotide ribosomal RNA is filed under the name uncultured Desulfocapsa sp. RNAcentral describes it as "bacterial SSU rRNA". It matches the Rfam family "Bacterial small subunit ribosomal RNA", at positions 1039 to 1382 of the family's 1533-position model. The record is from RNAcentral. Lineage: Bacteria; Pseudomonadati; Thermodesulfobacteriota; Desulfobulbia; Desulfobulbales; Desulfocapsaceae.